GACGAACGCUGGCGGCGUGCUUAACACAUGCAAGUCGAACGCUGAACCCGCUUCGGUGGGGGAUGAGUGGCGAACGGGUGAGUAACACGUGGGCAACCUGCCCCCGGCUCUGGGAUAACUCCAAGAAAUUGGGGCUAAUACCGGAUGUGACCGCUGGCCGCAUGGUCUGGUGGUGGAAAGGGUUUCCGGCUGGGGAUGGGCCCGCGGCCUAUCAGCUUGUUGGUGGGGUAGUGGCCUACCAAGGCGACGACGGGUAGCCGGCCUGAGAGGGUGACCGGCCACACUGGGACUGAGACACAGCCCAGACUCCUACGGGAGGCAGCAGUGGGGAAUAUUGCGCAAUGGGCGGAAGCCUGACGCAGCGACGCCGCGUGGGGGAUGACGGCCUUCGGGUUGUAAACCUCUUUCAGCAGGGACGAAGCGCAAGUGACGGUACCUGCAGAAGAAGCACCGGCCAACUACGUG
This 465-nucleotide ribosomal RNA is filed under the name uncultured bacterium. Its description in RNAcentral is "partial 16S ribosomal RNA". It matches the Rfam family "Bacterial small subunit ribosomal RNA", at positions 28 to 507 of the family's 1533-position model. The record is from RNAcentral.